GAUCAUGGCUCAGGAUGAACGCUGGCGGCGUGCUUAAUACAUGCAAGUCGAACGAAGCACCUUGGACAGAAUCCUUCGGGAGGAAGACCAUUGUGACUGAGUGGCGGACGGGUGAGUAACGCGUGGGUAACCUGCCUUGUACAGGGGGAUAACAGUUGGAAACGACUGCUAAUACCGCAUAAGCGCACAGUACCGCAUGGUACGUGUGAAACUACUGUGGUCGAAGAUGACCGCCGU
This 237-nucleotide ribosomal RNA is filed under the name uncultured bacterium. Its description in RNAcentral is "partial 16S ribosomal RNA". It matches the Rfam family "Bacterial small subunit ribosomal RNA", at positions 15 to 236 of the family's 1533-position model. The record is from RNAcentral.